RNAcentral lists this ribosomal RNA (3366 nucleotides) under Triticum aestivum (bread wheat). Its description in RNAcentral is "partial small subunit ribosomal RNA". Lineage: Eukaryota; Viridiplantae; Streptophyta; Magnoliopsida; Poales; Poaceae. The record is from RNAcentral.
AUGACGAGGCCCGCCCAUGCACGCCUCCUGGCCCACACUGCCGUCGCGCUCCUCCUGCUGGCGGUGACCCUAGUGGCCACAGCGGCCGCCACGGUGCAGCAGGCCGACGCCCUUCUCACCUGGAGGGCCAGCCUCGCCGCCACGGCCGCGCUGUCCAGCUGGAACAACGCAACGCCGGUCUCGCUCUGCUCCUCCUGGCGCGGCGUGGCCUGCGAUGCCUCCGGUCGCGUCACGUCGCUCACGCUCCGGGGGCUCGGCCUCACCGGCACGCUGGACACGCUCGAUGCUGCGGCGCUGCCGGCCCUGGCCGCGCUCGACCUCAACGAUAACAAACUCGGCGGCCCCAUCCCGGUGAGCCUCUCGCGGCUGCGCUCACUCGCCACGCUCGACCUCGGCAGCAACAACUUCAACGGCUCCAUCCCGCCGCAGCUCGGCGACCUCUCCGGCCUCGUCGACCUCCGCCUCUACAACAACAGCCUCGCCGGCGACAUCCCGCAUCAGCUCACCAGGCUCCCCAGGAUCACGCACCUCGACCUCGGCUCCAACUUCCUCACCAACCACAAGGACUACCACAGGUUCUCGCCCAUGCCCACCGUCACCUUCCUCUCGCUCUACCUCAACUACCUCGACGGCAGUUUCCCGGAGUUCAUCCUCCAAAGCGGCAACAUCACCUACCUCGACCUGUCGCAAAACACUCUUUCUGAACCAAUACCGGACUCGCUGCCGGAGAACCUCCCCAACCUCAUGUACCUCAACCUGUCCAUCAAUGCCUUCUCCGGGCGGAUACCGGCGUCGCUGUCGAAGCUGGGGAAGCUCCAGGACCUGCGUGUUGGCGGUAACAAUCUGACGGGCGGAAUCCCCGAGUUCCUUGGGUCCAUGUCCCAGCUGAGAGUUCUCGUUCUCUAUGGGAACCAGCUCGGUGGAUCGAUCCCGCCAGUUCUUGGCCGGCUCAAAAUGCUACAGCACCUUGACGUCAAGAUCGCCGGGUUGGUUUCCACUAUUCCACCGGAGCUAGGCAACCUUGACAAUGUCAAUUUUAUCGACCUGUCCAUGAACCAGCUCUCAGGUGGCUUGCCACCGGAGUUGGCCGGGAUGCGCCAAAUGUGUGAGUUUGGCAUAUCGUCGAACAAACUUGCCGGUCAGAUUCCACCAGCUUUGUUCACGAGCUGGCUAGAGCUCAUAUCAUUCCAAGUGCAGAAUAACUCGUUUUCAGGGAAGAUUCCACCAGAGAUCGGCAAGGCAACCAAGCUCAUAAUCUUGUUUCUCUUCAGCAACAACCUUGUUGGCCAUAUUCCUGCAGAGCUGGGCGAGCUUGUGAGAUUGAAUCAGUUGGAUUUGUCGGUGAACUCUCUCACGGGAUCGAUUCCCAGCUCGCUCGGCAACCUCACGCAACUCACGAGGCUGGCGCUCUUCUUUAACCGGCUCACUGGUGUGAUCCCGACGGAGAUUGGCAGCAUGACGGCGUUGCAAGUCUUGGAUGUCAACACCAACAGUUUAGAAGGGGAGCUACCCGCCACCAUCACAUCGCUUAGGAAUCUCCAAUACCUCGCCCUGUUUGACAACAACUUCAACGGCACCAUACCGCCCGACCUUGGGAAGGGGCUAAGCUUAACCGAUGCCAGUUUCGCAAACAACAGCUUCUCCGGCGAGCUGCCACAGAGACUGUGUGAUGGCUUUGCGCUGCAGAACUUCACGGUGAACCACAACAACUUCAGCGGCAGGCUGCCAUCAUGCUUGAAAAAUUGCACACGGUUGUUCCGGAUGCGGCUGGAAGGUGGCAACCAAUUCACCGGGGACAUCUCCAAGGUGUUUGGUGUCCAUCCCAACUUGGACUACUUGGAUGUCUCGGGGAAUCAGCUGACAGGGAACUUAUCAUCUGAUUGGUCACAAUGCACCAAUCUUACACUCUUAAACAUGAACGGUAAUCGAAUAUCUGGCAAUAUUGAUGCAGCCUUCUGCGAAUUGAUCUCUCUCCGGUCUCUGGAUCUAUCAAAUAACCAAUUCACCGGGGAGCUCCCAAGUUGCUGGUGGAAACUCAAAAGUAUGUGGUUAAUGGAUUUGUCCAACAACGGCUUUUCAGGUGAACUUCCCAUAUCAACAAGCUUGGGCCUUGAACUCCAGUCACUUCGUGUUGCUAAUAAUAGCUUUCUUGGAGUUUUUCCAUCCGUAAUUGAAACCUGCAGAUCUCUCGCCAUCCUAGAUCUUGGGAACAACAUGUUCUUUGGUGAUAUCCCCUCUUGGGUUGGAACCAAUGUCCCUCUUCUAAUAAUUCUGAGCCUCCCAUCCAACAACUUCAGUGGUGUCGUUCCACCCGAGUUAUCCCAACUUUCUAAUCUGCUAGUCCUGGACCUAUCCAGCAACUCCUUCUCAGGUGAGAUCCUCAUGGUGAUGCCAAACCACAAUUGCUCUCUCAAGUCAUCUCAUCUCGAGUUAUCCCAACUUUCUUAUUUGCAAGUCCUGGACCUGUCCAGCAACUCCUUCUCAGGUGAGAUCCUCACAGCCAUGCCAAACCACAAUUGCUCUCUCGAGUCGUUUCAUCUCGCUGGCAAUGGCUUUGUGGGCGCCUUCCCGCCAUUCCUCCAAAGCUGCAACUCCCUGGCCACCCUGGACAUCGGGAACAACCGGUUCGUUGGUGGUAUCCCUACAUGGAUCGGGAGUCAGCUUCCAUUAUUGAAUAUCCUUAGACUUAGAUCAAACAAUUUCACCGGAGAUAUCCCCCCCGAGUUAUCGAGGCUUUCACAACUUCAGCUGCUCGAUAUGGCCAAAAAUAGCUUGACAGGAUCACUUCCGGUAGCCUUUGGCAACUUGAAGUCCAUGAGGCAUAAUCUUCCCCCAUUGGUCCAACCAAGUCGGAUUUUCCAUCUUGAAAGAGUCAACAUAUCUUGGAAGGGCCGUGAACAGACUUUUUGGAAUGGUAUCGGGUUAAUAACAGGCAGUAUUCCAGAAAGAAUCGGCAGUUUGGAGCUAUUGGAGUUCCUUGACCUCUCAAGCAAUGACCUUUCAGGUGGCAUUCCUCCUAGCAUUUCAAAUCUGCUGUCCCUGGGCAUGUUAAAUCUCUCAAACAAUCACUUAUGGGGCCGCAUACCUACCGGGAGUCAGUUACAAACACUCACAGAUCCAUCAAUAUAUGGCAACAAUCUGGGGCUCUGUGGCUUCCCAUUGAGCGUGUGUGAGCCUGCAUUGGGCGAGGGAACUGAAGAUCACUCAAAAGUCGGUGACUUGGGGCUGUGUUACUCUGUAAUUCUUGGCAUUGUUUCCGGCUUCUGGCUUUGGUUUGGAGCUCUGCUUUUCCUGCAACAGUGGAGAUUUUCCUUUCUCGAUUUUGUUGACAGCUUAGGGAUCAAGAUAGCUGCUGUCAGGCGCUAA